Molecule: long non-coding RNA, 2646 nt
Organism: Anolis carolinensis (green anole)
Lineage: Eukaryota; Metazoa; Chordata; Lepidosauria; Squamata; Anolidae
Exons: 2
Source: RefSeq, a predicted model, not a curated record
AAGAGGGAAAAGGGGGAAGGAAGGCCUCUCAGGGCCGGUACUCACAUCCGUCUAUCUCCUCCUGCAGGUCCUCCUGAAGCAGCGACAGAUCUGGACGAGGGAGAAAGGAAGGAAGGAAGGAAUUAAAGGGGGGGGGGGGGGGUUGAAUCAAAACAAUACAACGGGGAUAUAAACCGCAGCUGAGCGGCGAAGGCCUUCCCCCGCUUGGCCUCCUUUGUUUGUCUUCGAGGGGCGUGAAGGCCGCCUCACCUUUCGCCCCCUAAAUCGCGUUGCGGGGAAAUAAAUAAAAAAGGGGGACGCCUACCGCGGGCCAACAAAUCCCACAAGCCCUUCCUUUCCACACUAGAUGUGUCCCCGACGCAGGCGCGGAGGAGGGAAGGGAGGAAGGAAGGAGGCGCCCCUUCCUCACACGACGGGUCGCGUUUCCCUCCCGAAGAAGACUUAAUCCUGACAAGACAGAGGUCCUCCUGGUCAGUCGUGUGGCUGAACGGGGUAUUGGGUGGCAACUUGUACUUGACGGAGUCGCAUUCCCCCUGAGGACACAGGUCCGCAGUCUGGGGGUCCUCUUGGAUUCAGCACUGACACUUGAAGCUCAGGUGUCGGUGGUGGCCAGGAGGGCCUUUGCACAAUUAAAACUUGUGCGCCAGCUGCAACCAUACCUUGAGAAGCCUGACUUGGCUGCGGUGCUCCACACCUUCGUUACCUCCAGUCUGGAUUAUUGCAGUGCACUUUACAUGGGGUUGCACUUGAAGACGGCUCAAAACUUCAACUGGUACAACAUUCGGUGGCCAAACUAAUAACUGGUGCCGAUUAUAGGGAGCGGACAACCCCCCUAUUAAAAGAGCUCCACUGGCUGCCGAUCAGUUUCCGGUCCCAAUUCAAGGUGCAGGUGAUUACCUAUAAAGGUGAUUACCUAAACAGCUCAGGACCUGACUAUCUUCGUGAAUGCAUCUUCCCCUAUGAACCCACACGGGCUCUAAGAUCUGCUGGGGAGGCCCUCCUUGAUCCCAUCUCUGUCUCAAGCGCGGUUGGUGGGGACGAGAGAGGGCCUUCUCGAUGGUGGCCCCCAGGCUCUGGAACUCCCUCCCAAAGGAGAUUAGAUUAGCGGCCACCCUGGAUUCCUUCCGGAAGAAUAUGAAAACAUGUAUGUUCACAGGUGCCUUCUCAUAACUGAUAAUUGAUUGUCCAUGUGCUUUACCUAGGCCUUGGCACUUUAUUACCUUUAGUCGUUCCCACCCCUAGUCAUUGAAGAAUAUGCAUUUUCAGAUUUCCAAUCUCCUUAAAAUGGCCCAUGGCCUAUGGUGCUUGACUAUGGAUUGGGAUUACUGUCUAUGUUUUAAAUUAUUUUAACUUUUGUGAGAAGUGUUAUUAUAUUGUGAUUUUAUUGUGUUACUGUUUUUAUUGAAGUAAUACUGUUUUGGGCUUGUCCCAGUGUAAGCCGCCCCGAGUCCUUCGGGAGAUGGAGUGGGGUAUAAAGUUAUUAUUAUUAUUAUUAUUAUUAUUAUUAUUAUUAUUAUUAUUAUUAUUACGUUUAUAGGCACAAGCCUGCAGUUCAAUUAUUCAAUGCUGAUUGUUAAAACAAAUGUAAAAUUACACAAACUGUGAAUAACUGUCUUGACAAACCUGAUGGGACACAUCUGUAUGGGGAGGUUAUGUUCUGACUUGUAAAAUUAGUAAGGAAACACAAAGUCAUACGGAAGAAGGUGAUACUACUAUUGUUUUGUUUUUUGUAGACUGUGCAGCCCAUGCUGUCUUACUGAAGCCCACACUGACAUAUAAGAUAUCAUUAAUUUCAUAAUUUGGGGAUCAGCAGGAUUAAUUUAAUUUAAUUUAAUUUAUGACACCAUAAAACUGCCAGUGAGCAAAGAGCAAGGAGGAAGUACUACAAUCAAAAAGACUCAGUGUCACAGUGGAUGAAGUGGCAGCUCCCCCUGUGGCUGGAAUCGAGCAUAUCCUCAUGAAGCCGGAAAUUGGAAAAUGUUAAAUUACCUCUACUGUCUGUCUGUAUGUGUUGUAUGUCUAAUAAUGGCAUUUAAUGUUUGCCAUGUAUAUGUGCAUUGUGAUCCAACCUCAGUCCCCUUCAGCAUGAGAAGGACAGAAUAUAAAUACUGUAAAUAAAUAAAUAAAUAAAUAAAUAAGGAAAUUAACUUUGGUUAACAAAAAAGUGUGAGCGUUUUGCAUCAGUCCAGAUAAAACACUUCUAUGAUAAUUCUUGCUUCUGGUCUUGGGAUCUCCAGUUCAGAUUAAUGCACCUCACAGAGAUGCACCUGGAAUCCUGUGAAAAGGUGAAUUUUGACAAUGUGUUCACUGUUUUCAUUUUUCUCUUCUGGUAAUUGGUAGGUGCUCAUUGUUUACCUGCCUUAACGUUUUGAGCAGACAUAUUUCUCCCUCUAUUUCUUUCUGUUAUCCCACCGAACAUUUACAAGCAAGCACCAAGUUUCCACUGUUGAAGGAAAUAUCAAAUCUGUAUAAUGAGAUUGUCUUCUGCUAGAAACCAAAGAUGUGGAUGCUUUCACUUAAAUAUAUUGUGGUGGUUGUACAUACCGUAUUUACUCCCCCCCCUGCUUUAUUUUCUCUACUGCAUCAACAACAGCUCUCAUCAAUCAAUACAAAAUCAAUCAAAUAAAAACAACUUUCAACCCUCAA